This 240-nucleotide long non-coding RNA is filed under the name Bos taurus (domestic cattle). Its description in RNAcentral is "long non-coding RNA NONBTAT014133". Lineage: Eukaryota; Metazoa; Chordata; Mammalia; Artiodactyla; Bovidae. The record is from RNAcentral.
GAAAGGUUAGUUUAACCUACCUUCAUUAACAGGUUGCCAGGGUUUUUUUUGGUGGGGUUGGGGAGAGUUGUUAUAAACAAAGAAGGGAACAUAUUUGUACAUCACCAUUGCACUCACGAUAAAGUCCUGCAAGAGCGACUAUUGAAAUCAGGAAAGCACGAGCAGACACUGGCGGUUUGGUUCGGUCCCGAGGGCUGCAGACAGGCCCUGUCUGGGUGAAGCCUGGAGUGCCGCAACCCC